Molecule: long non-coding RNA, 419 nt
Organism: Mauremys reevesii (Reeves's turtle)
Lineage: Eukaryota; Metazoa; Chordata; Testudines; Geoemydidae
Exons: 2
Source: RefSeq, a predicted model, not a curated record
CCAGGGAUUCUGGGCCUGACUGAUUGCUGUCCCAGGACUAGGCUGGUGCAAAGGGACAUUAGGACAGAUCUAAAUCCUUUCAUGGAGAAUAGCCCCAGCACAACAGUGCCAGCUCCACCAGCAAUCAGAAUUACAAUAAACUCAUGCAGCGCUUCAUACCACAGUGCAAACACUAAAGCCACAAAGAUGACCUCUGAAAGUCUCAUACUCCACCUCAAACUCCUUUUGGAACCUGACAGACAAGUCGGAGCUGUCUUAUCUAUGUCUAUUCUGCAGCGUAACUUCCUUGGGACAGGGACUGUCUUCUUACAUGUCCAGUAUGGCUACAAGCACAGAAUUGGGGCUCAAGAAAUAAUCCUUACAAGAAUGUUGAGUGGUGGGUAUGUUGUUUUCUCAAUUUUACAGAUGGACAAACUGAU